UCUCCGUAGGUGAACCUGCGGAGGGAUCAUUACAGAGUUCUCGCCCUCGCGGGUAGAUCUCCCACCCACUGUUAUCGUUACUGUGUUGCUUUGGCGGGCCGCCGGGCCCCGCUCGGCCGCCGGCUCCGGCUGGCGCGCGCCCGCCAGAGGCCCAGCAAUCUCUGAAUGUUAGUGUCGUCUGAGUACUAUAUAAUAGUUAAAACUUUCAACAACGGAUCUCUUGGUUCUG
RNAcentral lists this unclassified non-coding RNA (229 nucleotides) under plant metagenome. Its description in RNAcentral is "partial contains small subunit ribosomal RNA, internal transcribed spacer 1, and 5.8S ribosomal RNA". The record is from RNAcentral.